UACAGAGGUCUCAAGCGUUGUUCGGAUUCAUUGGGCGUAAAGGGUGCGUAGGUGGCGCCGUAAGUGGGGUGUGAAAUCUCGGGGCUUAACUCCGAAACUGCAUUCGAUACUGCCGUGCUUGAGGACUGGAGAGGAGACUGGAAUUUACGGUGUAGCGGUGAAAUGCGUAGAUAUCGUAAGGAAGACCAGUGGCGAAGGCGGGUCUCUGGACAGUUCCUGACGCUGAGGCACGAAGGUCAGGGGAGCAAACGGG
RNAcentral lists this ribosomal RNA (253 nucleotides) under uncultured bacterium. RNAcentral describes it as "partial 16S ribosomal RNA". It matches the Rfam family "Bacterial small subunit ribosomal RNA", at positions 524 to 776 of the family's 1533-position model. The record is from RNAcentral.